Molecule: ribosomal RNA, 253 nt
Filed under: uncultured bacterium
Lineage: Bacteria
Description: partial 16S ribosomal RNA
Rfam family: Bacterial small subunit ribosomal RNA
Source: RNAcentral
UACGUAGGUGGCAAGCGUUGUCCGGAAUUAUUGGGCGUAAAGCGCGCGCAGGCGGUCUUUUAAGUCUGAUGUGAAAGCCCACGGCUCAACCGUGGAGGGUCAUUGGAAACUGGGAGACUUGAGUGCAGAAGAGAAGAGUGGAAUUCCCCGUGUAGCGGUGAAAUGCGUAGAGAUGGGGAGGAACACCAGUGGCGAAGGCGACUCUUUGGUCUGUAACUGACGCUGAGGCGCGAAAGCGUGGGGAGCAAACAGG